Anolis carolinensis (green anole) is the source of this 1044-nucleotide long non-coding RNA. RefSeq lists it as uncharacterized. The record is from RefSeq and is a predicted model, not a curated record. NCBI's taxonomy places the organism in Eukaryota, Metazoa, Chordata, Lepidosauria, Squamata, Anolidae. The transcript has 4 exons.
UUGUUUCAGCAACUUUCUUGUUUUACCAAUAAUACUGGUCCUACAUAUGUCAUUGCCCUACUUUUUGCACAUGUAAAAAGAUGUGGUUUCCUACAUCUGUUUAAAGUGACUCCUCUUACAGAAAAUGUAGGUGCUGAGUGCCAACAGAAGUGGAGCCAGAACUGGACUGCUAAAUAACAAAAAUCAGGUAACAGUCAGCUCUAAAGUAGGAAAAGCAGAUUUGAGAUGUUCCAAUCCUUUUUCCCAUUUCCAUGGCACACAGAGAAGGGACCCAAGAUAGGAUCCAGAGCAACCGAAGUUGCUUCUGGAGUGAGAGAAUUGGCCGUCUGCAAGGACGUUACCCAGGGGAUGCCCGGAUGUUUUGAUGUUUUACCAUCCUUGUGGGAGGCUUCUCUCAUGUCCCCGCAUGGAGCUGGAGCUGAUAGAGGGAGCUCAUCCGCACUCUCCCCAGGUGGGAUUCGAACCUGGCAACUUUCAGGGAGCUCUGGCGUGGACUGGUCCAUGAGGUCAUGAAGAGUUGGAAACGACUAAACGACUGAGCAGCAGCAUUAUCUACUGAUCAUUGGUGACACUGAGAAGCAUUAUCUCCAGCCUUGACAGACUCAACUGACCUUCUGAAGAUGACUGGAAUUUGUCAAUGUUGGAUACUUGAGUACAGGAAUGUCUCAUCUUACUAAACUGGAUUAAAGCUCAAAGAACUGAAUUGCUUUUAUCUUAUUUAAUAUGCAUGUGAAUAUAAGUAUCCACACACAUGCUGUUUACCCAGUUGGAUUAAAGCCUAAAGGACUGCAUUGCUUUCAUCUUGUUUAAUAUGGAUUUAAAUUAUGUUAUUCUUUUAUUUGCAAUUAUUUUAAAUUACUUAUGUUGUUUUACUUGUACAUUACUCUGAGGUGCCACAAUAUAAAGGACAAAAUAUAAAUCAUUUAAAAUAAUUAAAUAUUGUGUUUUCACUACUGACAGUGACUACAGUCAAAAUAUUGUUGGUUGUGUUACUUUGUAAAACUGAGGUGAGUACAUUAAAAGAUGUUUAGCAUUGUGGUUGUA